UACAGAGGGUGCGAGCGUUAAUCGGAAUUACUGGGCGUAAAGCGCGCGUAGGCGGUUUGUUAAGUCGGAUGUGAAAUCCCCGGGCUCAACCUGGGAAUUGCAUUCGAUACUGGCAAGCUAGAGUAUGGGAGAGGAAGGUAGAAUUCCAGGUGUAGCGGUGAAAUGCGUAGAGAUCUGGAGGAAUACCGAUGGCGAAGGCAGCCUUCUGGCCUAAUACUGACGCUGAGGUGCGAAAGCAUGGGGAGCAAACAGG
Molecule: ribosomal RNA, 253 nt
Filed under: uncultured bacterium
Lineage: Bacteria
Also listed under: 2 other names
Description: partial 16S ribosomal RNA
Rfam family: Bacterial small subunit ribosomal RNA
Source: RNAcentral